UAAGCGGAGGAAAAGAAACUAACAAGGAUUCCCCUAGUAACUGCGAGUGAAGCGGGAAAAGCUCAAAUUUGGAAUCUGGUGGUCUUUGGCCAUNCGAGUUGUAAUUUAGAGAAGCGUCUUCCGCGCUGGACCGUGCACAAGUCUCCUGGAAUGGAGCGUCAUAGAGGGUGAGAAUCCCGUCUUUGGCAUGGAAUNNCAGGGCUUCUGUGAUGCGCUCUCGACGAGUCGAGUUGUUUGGGAAUGCAGCUCAAAAUGGGUGGUGAACUCCAUCUAAAGCUAAAUAUUGGCGAGAGACCGAUAGCGAACAAGUACCGUGAGGGAAAGAUGAAAAGCACUUUGGAAAGAGAGUGAAACAGUACGUGAAAUUGUUGAAAGGGAAACGCUUGAAGUCAGUCGCGUCGACCGAGACUCAGCCUUGCCUCGGCUUGGUGUACUUCUCGGCUUGACGGGUCAGCAUCGAUUUCAAUCCUCGGAUAAUGGCAAGGGAAAGGUAGCACCUUUUUAGGUGUGUUAUAGUCCUCUGUCGCAUGCGAGGGUCGGGAUCGAGGAACUCAGCACGCACCUCAGGGUGUCGGGGCCUUGGCCCACGUUUACGUGCUUAGGAUGCUGGCGUAAUGGCUUUAAACGACC
Molecule: ribosomal RNA, 630 nt
Filed under: uncultured Russulaceae
Lineage: Eukaryota; Fungi; Basidiomycota; Agaricomycetes; Russulales; Russulaceae
Description: LSU rRNA
Rfam family: Eukaryotic large subunit ribosomal RNA
Source: RNAcentral